UACGGAGGGUGCGAGCGUUGUCCGGAAUCACUGGGCGUAAAGGGCGCGUAGGCGGCCUGUUGAGUCGAACGUGAAAUCCCCGGGCUCAACCCGGGAACUGCGUCCGAUACUGGCAGGCUUGAAUCCGGGAGAGGGAUGCGGAAUUCCAGGUGUAGCGGUGAAAUGCGUAGAUAUCUGGAGGAACACCGGUGGCGAAGGCGGCAUCCUGGACCGGCAUUGACGCUGAGGCGCGAAAGCCAGGGGAGCAAAGCGGG
This 254-nucleotide ribosomal RNA is filed under the name uncultured bacterium. Its description in RNAcentral is "partial 16S ribosomal RNA". It matches the Rfam family "Bacterial small subunit ribosomal RNA", at positions 524 to 777 of the family's 1533-position model. The record is from RNAcentral.